RNAcentral lists this ribosomal RNA (1578 nucleotides) under metagenome. RNAcentral describes it as "bacterial LSU rRNA". It matches the Rfam family "Bacterial large subunit ribosomal RNA", at positions 1311 to 2925 of the family's 2925-position model. The record is from RNAcentral.
GAUAAAUAAGGUGAAAAACCUUAUCGCCGAAAGUCUAAGGGUUCCUGAUCAACGUUAAUCGGAUCAGGGUUAGUCGGGUCCUUAGGUAAACCCGAAAGGGGUAACUGAUGGAAAACUGGUUAAUAUUCCAGUACCCACUGUAGUUUCGAUGGGGUGACGCAUUAUUGAAAGUCUCACGGGGAUCACGGAAUAUCCCGUUUAAGCAUGUAGCUAUACGUUUUACAGGUAAAUCCGUAAGAUGUGGCAAAGUGCGAAAGUACACUGCGGCUUCGGCCAAUGGGAGAGACCUAAAAGAUGCCGAGAAAAACCUCUAAGGUUAGGCUACAGCGGCCCGUACCGCAAACCGACACAGGUAGACGAGAUGAAUAUUCUAAGGCGCUCGGGUGAGCCGUGGAGAAGGAACUAGGCAAAUUGACGCUGUAACUUCGGGAUAAAGCGUACCACCUUAUGGGUGGUCUCAGUAAAAUGGUCCAACCAACUGUUUAGCAAAAACACAGGGCCCUGCAAAAUCGAAAGAUGACGUAUAGAGCCUGAUACCUGCCCGGUGCUGGAAGGUUAAGGAAGGGUGUUCGACGCAAGUCAAAGCUCCUGACUGAAGCCCCAGUAAACGGCGGCCGUAACUAUAACGGUCCUAAGGUAGCGAAAUUCCUUGUCGGGUAAGUUCCGACCUGCACGAAUGGUCUAAUGAGUUGGACUCUGUCUCCUCCACGAGCCCGGUGAAAUUGUAGUAUCGGUGAAGAUGCCGGUUACCCGCCACGGGACGGAAAGACCCCGUGAACCUUCACUACAACUUUGCAUUGAUUUUGAAGUUUAGAUGUGUAGCAUAGUUGGGAGACUAUGAAGCGGUGCCGCUAGGUGCUGUGGAGUCAUCGUUGAAAUACCAACCUUCUGACAUUUAGAAUCUAAUCCCUUACGGGAGACAUUGCAUGGUGGGUAGUUUGACUGGGGUGGUCGCCUCCUAAAGAGUAACGGAGGCUCGCAAAGGUACCCUCAGUACGGUUGGUAAUCGUACGUAGAGCGCAUUAGUAUAAGGGUGCUUGACUGUGAGGCAAACACGCCGAGCAGGUGCGAAAGCAGGCUAAAGUGAUCCGGCAGUUCUGUAUGGAAGGGCUGUCGCUCAAAGGAUAAAAGGUACUCCGGGAUAACAGGCUGAUCUCCCCCAAGAGCUCAUAUCGACGGGGAGGUUUGGCACCUCGAUGUCGGUUCGUCACAUCCUGGGGCUGGAGAAGGUCCCAAGGGUUCGGCUGUUCGCCGAUUAAAGUGGCACGUGAACUGGGUUCAGAACGUCGCAAGACAGUUCGGUCCCUAUCUGUGGUGGGCGUUAGGAAAUUGCAAGGACAUGACCUUAGUACGAGAGGACCGGGUCGUAUGUACCGCUGGUGUAUCGGUUGUUCCGCCAGGAGCAGUGCCGAGUAGCUAUGUACAGACAGGAUAAACGCUGAAAGCAUCUAAGCGUGAAACCUUCCUUAAGAUGAGUUUCCUUUUAAGGGUCGUCAAAGACUAUGACGUUGAUAGGCUAUAGGUGUAAAACUGGUAACAGUAAAGCCGAGUAGUACUAAUUGCCCGUAAGCUUUAAUU